UAGCUUUUCUGGACAAAAACUCCA
RNAcentral lists this non-coding RNA (24 nucleotides) under Arabidopsis thaliana (thale cress). Lineage: Eukaryota; Viridiplantae; Streptophyta; Magnoliopsida; Brassicales; Brassicaceae. The record is from RNAcentral.